This 1212-nucleotide long non-coding RNA is filed under the name Anser brachyrhynchus (Pink-footed goose). Its description in RNAcentral is "lncRNA (ENSABRG00000002817.1)". Lineage: Eukaryota; Metazoa; Chordata; Aves; Anseriformes; Anatidae. The record is from RNAcentral.
AUGGUGAGACUGGAGCCAGCACCACCCGCAUGUGCUCGCUGCUUUCUGUAUGCAGAAGCCUGCUGGGAAAGCUCUGCAGCAGCUCUGGUCACAGCUGGCUGGGCAUCUGGCUUGCUGGGCUUGGAGAUGGCUGAGGCUGGUACCUCCAAGAUGGGGCUGCAAGCAUUGGCUCUUGAGGUUUUGCAGAAAUGUGUUUUCCCUGCAGCUCUGCUCCUUGCCAGGCUGUACUUUGGCCAGUAAAUGAAAGAUAAAAAAUGUUAUUUUGUUGUUUUGGGUGUUCAGUGUGGUCCCAAGCCUAUAGAUGCAGGGAGGGGAAAGGAAACCUGUUCCUUCCUAACACGUUCAUGGGGCUGUUAGCACAGACCGCUCCUCUCCUUUUGCUGGGGGACUUGCUGGUGAGCUAGGUGGUGCUGUAAGGGAAGGGGGAUGCUGCAGCUCGGGUUGUUUAACAGCUGAAGCAUGCAGGAUCUGCUGUCCGACUCCGGCACGGCUUCAGCACUGCUUACGGAUGUCAGGUUUGUCACGUCUCUUCUCCCAGACACCUCGCUGCUGUCACAGCUCAGCGUCUGCCAUAUGUUGCAGCCCAGUGCUCAGAGGUAUGUUUUCCUCUGGGCAUGAUAGAAUCAGACCGUUUAAUUCUGGGCCUAGCGCUGUGUUCUCUGGCUUGUGCCCCUUUCCCAGUGAGGGGCUUAGGUAGCUCUCUCCAAGACCUGCAGACGCAUUUAGGGUGCCCUUACUCCGAGGGAUGUUGAACCCCACGUGUAAUGCGGUAACAACCAUAAUUAAAAUGUUUAUCGGUGAUGCUUGCAUGGUAAACAAAUGGUAAAACCCAAGGAGCACUAAAUUAGGCUGAACCUGUUCUGCCAUUUCCCUUCUGAACAGUAAUCCCUCUGGGAGCAGAAGACUCGACCAAGCCUAGUAAGAGGCAGAGUGGACCAGGGCAGCAGGAAGGGGGAUGUGGACUUGCGUAUCUGUCUUUUCCCUUGCAGCCAGAGUGUUUUACAAACUACUUUCUUCAGAAGAAAUAUAUAUUUGAUGUAAGGAGAACUACUUGAGUCUCAUGUUAGCAAAAUAUUUACUUUAUAGCUUGGAGCAUACAGAAAGUCCAGCGGAGUUGCUUUCUGUGCCCAUAACCUUGAAGUUAGGGCUCUAAUGCAGUGCUUUGCAGAAGGAGCUCAGGCGUGGGCUUGCUCAACUUGCUUUGCCAUUAUG